GUCCAGGGAAUGUUCCUCUCAGUGAACCGGUCCUCAUCACUGAUAAAGCAAAAAUCAUCACCAGCUUUGGCAUUGUUCAAGAUGUUUCCACGUACUGCAAACGUUGUCCGGCAUGUGACUUGUGUUAUCGAUAUCAAGAGUGGAAAGAUGGCGUGCCCAAUUUCAGUGACCACAUACUACUUGACCUGCCCUUGUGUAUCACACUGAGAAACCUACUUCAGAUAAUGUCCAUACAGCGAUCAGCAGAGUGGUAGAUUACCUCCAGUUUACCGCAGGAGUAAACUUCCCCUCGAAAGACAUGGUGCUCCAUGCAUAUCUGCACUUUGAGGCCCUCACGGACCAUCAGUACAACUGUUUGUGUGUCACCUGUGAUGAUCACCCUGCCGUGGUCAUAAUGGAUUUGCAUAGGAAGGGUGCUUUUCAUUUGUCAAUAAGUGACUUGGAAGAACCUCCAG
Lampris incognitus (smalleye Pacific opah) is the source of this 455-nucleotide long non-coding RNA. RefSeq lists it as uncharacterized. The transcript has 4 exons. NCBI's taxonomy places the organism in Eukaryota, Metazoa, Chordata, Actinopteri, Lampriformes, Lampridae. The record is from RefSeq and is a predicted model, not a curated record.